GAUGAACGCUGGCGGCGUGCCUAAUACAUGCAAGUCGAGCGAACAGAUAAGGAGCUUGCUCCUUUGACGUUAGCGGCGGGCGGGUGAGUAACACGUGGAUAACCUACCUAUAAGACUGGGAUAACUUCGGGAAACCGGAGCUAAUACCGGAUAACAUAUUGAACCGCAUGGUUCAAUAGUGAAAGGCGGCUUUGCUGUCACUUAUAGAUGGAUCCGCGCCGUAUUAGCUAGUUGGUAAGGUAACGGCUUACCAAGGCAACGAUACGUAGCCGACCUGAGAGGGUGAUCGGCCACACUGGAACUGAGACACGGUCCAGACUCCUACGGGAGACAGCAGUAGGGAAUCUUCCGCAAUGGGCGAAAGCCUGACGGAGCAACGCCGCGUGAGUGAUGAAGGUCUUCGGAUCGUAAAACUCUGUUAUCAGGGAAGAACAAAUGUGUAAGUAACUGUGCACAUCUUGACGGUACCUGAUCAGAAAGCCACGGCUAACUACGUG
RNAcentral lists this ribosomal RNA (497 nucleotides) under uncultured bacterium. RNAcentral describes it as "partial 16S ribosomal RNA". It matches the Rfam family "Bacterial small subunit ribosomal RNA", at positions 28 to 507 of the family's 1533-position model. The record is from RNAcentral.